UACGGAGGAUGCAAGCGUUUAUCCGGAAUGAUUGGGCGUAAAGGGUCCGCAGGUGGCAGUGUAAGUCUGCUGUCAAAGAAUGAGGCUUAACCUCAUCAAGGCAGUGGAAACUACACAGCUAGAGUACGGUCGGGGGUAGAAGGAAUUCCUGGUGUAGCGGUGAAAUGCGUAGAGAUCAGGAAGAACACCGGUGGCGAAAGCGUUCUGCUAGACCUGUACUGACACUGAGGGACGAAAGCUAGGGGAGCGAAUGGG
RNAcentral lists this ribosomal RNA (255 nucleotides) under uncultured bacterium. RNAcentral describes it as "partial 16S ribosomal RNA". It matches the Rfam family "Bacterial small subunit ribosomal RNA", at positions 524 to 776 of the family's 1533-position model. The record is from RNAcentral.